AUAUAUAUAUAUAUAUAUAUGUAACACUCUCAAACGUGUCCUGUCCCCCAAACGUGUCCGAUUCCCCCAAACGUGUCUAUUCUCCCGAAAUGUGUCCGUAAUAUCCAACAUUCCCCAAACGUGUCCGAUUUUAUAACCCCCAAACGUGUCCGAUAAUUGUUAUUCGCCAAAACGUGUCCACUAUUAAACGCCAGGACGUCUCACGUCUUUUAGCGCUAAUACAUGAAUAAAAUCAAUAACGUUUACGGCAAUUCUAUAAUGGGGGCACAGUUGAUGAAGUGGUCAUUUAUUAGUUUUAGUUGGUUCAAUGCCGGUUGUUAUUGCAAAUUUAACCUGUAACAUCUAAAUCAACUUUUGACUGAAAAGCUUAUUGAUAUUCCAGUUGCAAGUAUUAUGCUCGUUUAGAGCGCACAUACAUGUACAAACAAUUCUAGUUCAGAUGAAUAAAUCGUUUACUAUGUAAUUAUUCUGUACUAAUAAACUCCGAUGAUGCCUUUUAUAUUACAGCUAAUUUCCUAAUGCAUGUAGAACAAAACUUUGGUUAGCUUGCUUGCUUGGUUUUUAUAUUGUAGAAUCCAUAGGAUAACACCCAAUUAAAUUCAAAUACAAUAUAUUCAGGUUGAACAAUGCCUAUAUAUAUUGUUUAAAGAUUCCAAUCUUAUUUACAAAACUUGUAUUAUCAAUUAUACAAACAAUGCAAGCAAGCCUAACAACGUUUUACUUUGCAAGCAUUAGGAAAUCAGCUGUAAUCCGCGAAUACUGCACGGCGUGCUUUUAAAAGGAUUGCCUUCCUUUUUUCAACAGUUCUGAUAUUUUAUUAUCAUACCGGGGAUUUAGGAUUGGGCCUAAAUUUGUUUACGAUUAUUCGGGAUUAACAUUAGUUAAAUUUAAAAAUCUUAAGAGCCAGUAAAGACCGAAACUUUUUAACUUCACUAAGAAACUAUUUGAUUCUCUAAAAAAAUAGAAAAAAAAACUCUUAAAAUUAUAAACUGGUAGUAAGGUUUCACAUUAUGAACUUUUGGUUUCGAGCAUCACUUAAAUACACGCAAACAAGAGACAUUACGUCCAGUGGCAAAUAUUGCAUGCAUGGAUAGGACGACAGCAUACUUUGGAUAAGUUAUAUUAUGACAUGCGGAAGAAUAUUUGCCGGAACUCUUGGAUUGUACCUUAAUUAUUCCGGGAAUUCGGGAUUAUGCCUGAAUGUGUACAGUUAUAAGAAUUUACGCUUUACGGUUAUUAGGAAUUUACACUAAUCGUAACUAGGAAUUAAAUUAUAUUUUUUUGGAGCGGAAAAAGACAGUUUUAUUUUUACGGAAUAUCAGUAUAACAAUCUUUUAUUUCCCUUUAUAUUAUAGGACAAGUUUGGGGAAUUGAGCACGUUUGAAGGAUUGGGCACGUUUGGGUGUUAUUAAAAAUAUGGACACGUUUAGGCGUUUGCAUAAUACAAAUGACACGCUUUGACGCCCUAUUUACAACUAGACAUGUUUUGCAUUUCAGUGACGUCGAUGUGGACACGUUUGGGGGUAUCGGACACGUUUGGGGGGAAGGACACGUUUUUGAGUGUUACAUAUAU
Molecule: long non-coding RNA, 1573 nt
Filed under: Mytilus galloprovincialis (Mediterranean mussel)
Lineage: Eukaryota; Metazoa; Mollusca; Bivalvia; Mytilida; Mytilidae
Source: RNAcentral